RNAcentral lists this ribosomal RNA (374 nucleotides) under uncultured organism. Its description in RNAcentral is "partial 16S ribosomal RNA". It matches the Rfam family "Bacterial small subunit ribosomal RNA", at positions 525 to 896 of the family's 1533-position model. The record is from RNAcentral.
GUAGGGUGGGCAAGCGUUGUCCGGAAUUAUUGGGCGUAAAGCGCGCGCAGGCGGUCCUUUAAGUCUGAUGUGAAAGCCCACGGCUCAACCGUGGAGGGUCAUUGGAAACUGGGGGACUUGAGUACAGAAGAGGAAAGCGGAAUUCCAAGUGUAGCGGUGAAAUGCGUAGAGGUUUGGAGGAACACCAGUGGCGAAGGCGGCUUUCUGGUCUGUAACUGACGCUGAGGCGCGAAAGCGUGGGGAGCAAACAGGAUUAGGUACCCUGGUAGUCCACGCCGUAAACGAUGAGUGCUAAGUGUUAGGGGGUUUCCGCCCCUUAGUGCCGCAGCUAACGCAUUAAGCACUCCGCCUGGGGAGUACGGCCGCAAAGGCUG